Molecule: ribosomal RNA, 1157 nt
Filed under: Candidatus Pelagibacteraceae bacterium
Lineage: Bacteria; Pseudomonadati; Pseudomonadota; Alphaproteobacteria; Candidatus Pelagibacterales; Candidatus Pelagibacteraceae
Description: bacterial SSU rRNA
Rfam family: Bacterial small subunit ribosomal RNA
Source: RNAcentral
AAACUUGAGAGUUUGAUCAUGGCUCAGAACGUACGCUGGCGGCACGCCUAACACAUGCAAGUCGAACGAAGUAGCAAUACUUAGUGGCAAACGGGUGAGUAAUAUGUGGGAAUCUACCCUUCGGUCUGGAAUAACAUGAGGAAACUUAUGCUAAUACCGGAUAAGCCUUUACAGGGAAAGCUUUAUGCUCCGAUUGAUGAGUCCACACUUGAUUAGUUAGUUGGUGAGGUAAUAGCUCACCAAGACAAUGAUCAAUAGCUGAUUUGAGAGGAUGAUCAGCCACAUUGGGACUGAGACACGGCCCAAACUCCUACGGGAGGCAGCAGUGGGGAAUCUUGCACAAUGGGGGAAACCCUGAUGCAGCGAUGCCGCGUGAGUGAAGAAGGCCCUUGGGUUGUAAAGCUCUUUCGUCGGGGAAGAAAAUGACUGUACCCGAAUAAGAAGGUCCGGCUAACUUCGUGCCAGCAGCCGCGGUAAUACGAAGGGACCUAGCGUAGUUCGGAAUUACUGGGCUUAAAGAGCACGUAGGUGGUUAAAAAAGUUGGUGGUGAAAUCCCAGAGCUUAACUCUGGAACUGCCAUCAAAACUUUUUAGCUAGAGUAUGAUAGAGGAAAGUAGAAUUUCUAGUGUAGAGGUGAAAUUCGUAGAUAUUAGAAAGAAUACCAAUUGCGAAGGCAGCUUUCUGGAUCAUUACUGACACUGAGGUGCGAAAGCAUGGGUAGCGAAGAGGAUUAGAUACCCUCGUAGUCCAUGCCGUAAACGAUGUGUGCUAGACGUUGGAAAUUUAUUUUCAGUGUCGCAGCAAAAGCAUUAAGCACACCGCCUGGGGAGUACGACCGCAAGGUUAAAACUCAAAUGAAUUGACGGGGACCCGCACAAGCAGUGGAGCAUGUGGUUUAAUUCGAAGAUACGCGCAGAACCUUACCAACACUUGACAUGUUCGUCGCGACUUUAAGAGAUUAAAGUCUUCGGUUCGGCCGGACGAAACACAGGUGCUGCAUGGCUGUCGUCAGCUCGUGUCGUGAGAUGUUGGGUUAAGUCCCGCAACGAGCGCAACCCUUACUUUUAGUUGCCAUCAUUUAGUUGGGCACUCUGAAAGAACUGCCAGUGAUAAGCUGGAGGAAGGUGGGGAUGACGUCAAGUCCUCAUGGCCCUUA